CCUACGGGAGGCAGCAGUGAGGAAUAGUGGUCAAUGGGCGCGAGCCUGAACCAGCCAAGUCGCGUGAGGGAAGACGGUCCUAUGGAUUGUAAACCUCUUUUGUCGGGGAGCAAAAGACGGCACGCGUGGCGUUCCGAGAGUACCCGAAGAAAAAGCAUCGGGUACCUCCGUGCCAGCAGCCGCGGUAAGACGGAGGAUGCGAGCGUUAUCCGGAUUGAUUGGGUUUACAGGGUGCGCAGGCGGAAGAUCAAGUCAGCGGUAAAAUUGGGAGGCGCAACCUCUUCGUGCCGUUGAAACUGGUUUUCUUGAGUGCGUGAGAAGUAUGCGGAAUGCGUGGUGUAGCGGU
Molecule: ribosomal RNA, 346 nt
Filed under: uncultured bacterium
Lineage: Bacteria
Description: partial 16S ribosomal RNA
Rfam family: Bacterial small subunit ribosomal RNA
Source: RNAcentral